Molecule: long non-coding RNA, 427 nt
Organism: Canis lupus familiaris (dog)
Lineage: Eukaryota; Metazoa; Chordata; Mammalia; Carnivora; Canidae
Exons: 4
Source: RefSeq, a predicted model, not a curated record
GUCAAUGGCAGUUCCAGUAUGACAUCACCAUCUUGACCAAAUCUACUUCUGUGUACUGUGUUCUUGCUUCCAGAGGACAAGUGGCUUAUCAUCUUCCUUUAUGGGAGGAAUUUGUUUAGAUUGAGCCCUGAUGUGGAACCUUGGAGAAGGGCAAGAACUCAGCAAUUCGGGUCAUCUACUAACAUGAUGGAAAAUGACACAGCCAAACAGCUUAACAUGUAUCUGCCUCUGAAGCGUAUUAAAAUACUUAUCGAUGAUUUGAGGGAGGUAGAGAGAAGUUUCAUUGCUCUACUUACAUAUUUAUAGGAAUCUGUGACCCCAAAAUGAUGAAGAACUACUGAUAAGAGAGUAACCAGUUAUAAGAAAUAGAAAUUUCCUCUUUUGAGUCAUGUAAAAAAUUAAAUUUAAAGAUGUUUAUUUCCUUUCC